This 2079-nucleotide unclassified non-coding RNA is filed under the name Mizuhopecten yessoensis (Yesso scallop). Its description in RNAcentral is "non-POU domain-containing octamer-binding protein- like, transcript variant X2". Lineage: Eukaryota; Metazoa; Mollusca; Bivalvia; Pectinida; Pectinidae. The record is from RNAcentral.
UUAUUAACAUAAAGCGUGCUGCCAUUUUGGAUUGUAAAGGGAACAAAGACGCGUCAGAAGAGUCCAAACCAUUCCUUAUCAAUAUGUCGGAAAAAACAGCAGCAAAACCUGCCACGCCUGCUAAGAAAGAACUAACAGAUACCAAGACCCCAACGCCGAACAAAAAUAAGCCCCAACAGGAUGGUAACAUCAACAAACAUCAAGAACAGAACAGAAGCCGCGGCGGUGGUGGCGGCGGUGACCGAGGUGGACAUGGUGGACCCCAACGCCGUGGUGGCGGAGGAGGAGGAGGUCGGGGACGUUUCAACAAUAAUCGUAACUUUUCUCAGGGUGGCGACCGUCAUUCUAAUAUGGGACACAAAAAUCAGCCACCACAAGAUACGGACCACAACGAAGAUGGACCAAAAGAAGAUCCGAAAUUCACAGGAAGAUGUCGUCUUUUUGUCGGAAACCUGACACCUGAUAUUACUGAAGAAGAGUUCAGGGGGAUGUUCACUAAAUUUGGUGAAAUAUCAGAACUCUUUGUCAACGGCGCCAAAGGAUUUGGGUUCAUUCGCAUGGACUACAGAAACAAUGCUGAAGCAGCAAAGGCAGCUUUGGAUGGAACACAGAGAAAGGGUCGCAGUCUGAGAGUACGAUUUGCAAACCAUGGAGCUGCUAUCCGAGUCAAGAAUCUGUCUCCAUUUGUAUCUAAUGAACUGAUGUACCAGUCUUUUUCCCAGUUUGGUGACAUUGAAAGGGCCAUUGUUUGUGUGGAUGAUAGAGGGAGGUCUUCUGGAGAGGGAAUUGUAGAGUUUGCCAGAAAACCAGGUGCCAGCCAAGCUAUGAAGAGAAUCAAUGAAGGAGUUUUCCUUAUGUCUUCGUACCCAAGACCUGUUUUUGUGGAGCCUUUGGAACAGAAGGAUGAAGAAGAUGGUCUUCCAGAAAAAUUCUUGCCGAGAAAUGAACAUUGCAGAAAAGACAGAGAAAAGGAGCCUAGGUUUGCUCCACCAGGAUCUUUUGAAUACAGAUUUGCACAAAGGUGGAAGGAAUUGGAUGAACUGGAGAAACAGCAGCAUGAAAGAGUGAAGCAAGAAAUGGAAGAUGCAAGAAUCAAGUUGGAGGCAGAGAUGGAGGGUGCGAUGUAUGAGUACCAAGCUGAACAAAUCAGAGCAGACUUGGUAAGACAGCAAGAAGAACUCCAAAGAAUUGAAGAAAUGAGACAGGAACAGAUGAGGCGUAGACAAGAAAUGGACAUGCGUAAUGACACUUAUUUCAGGCGUCAGGAGGAUAGCAGGAUGGUUAGAGAAGAAGAAGAAAGACGCAGAGAGAUGAUAAUGAGGGGAGAAGGAAGUGGUAUGAGAGGAGGAAGAGGGCCAAUGGACAGUCACCGAAGCAGUCAGAUGGAACAGCAAGGAGGACUGAGAGGCGAAGGAAUGCGAGGUGAUGGUAUGCGUGGUGAAGGCUUGCGCGGUGAAGGUAUGAGGGGUGAAGGACAACGUGGGCGCUCUGGAGUACCCCCACCUGUUCCACCACCUCCAGCCCCUCCUGCUGCCAUGGGCAUUGAAAAUAGGCAACAGAAUGAGGGAUCCAUAGUAAGUGGAUUUGGAGGAUCUGGUGGAAAUGUUGGAGGAGGUGGAGGUGUAGGCGGCAGCCAAGGGUCGAUGCAAGGUCAAAGCCAGGGAAUGGGAGGUCAAGGCCAGGGAAUGAUGAUUGCAUGCUGUGGAUGAGGAACAACCACUAUGUCCUUGGAAAGACUUCAAUAACAUUGACUGGAAGGCAUCUGGUGGUGAUGAAAGGCUCGCUCAGUAUGCCCCAUAUACUCAAGCUAAGGAUGGUACCAGUGUUGGCCAUCCUCAAGUGAAAGGCUGGAUGCAUGUGUGAAUAUGGACAUGGUCAAAUUACACUGAUCUUGACAUGCAGGACAAUUUAAUAAGCUCAACAAAGAAGUGGGAAAGAUGAUCCUUAGAUCUAUCGGGAGGUGAAAGGAAGACUUGGAGAAAACUUUUGGAACUCCAUUGGACAAUGAGAUAUUUUGAAUUUGUGACCAUUGAAUUUGAUGGAAUAAAAGGAAUUAAAAAUAAAGACUCUUUACUGAUA